This 995-nucleotide small RNA is filed under the name Vigna angularis var. angularis. Its description in RNAcentral is "Non-protein coding transcript". The record is from RNAcentral. Lineage: Eukaryota; Viridiplantae; Streptophyta; Magnoliopsida; Fabales; Fabaceae.
AAACUUAAAAUAUUGCAGGCGGAACAUUGCAUCAAGCUUACGAAUUUUCCACCUCUCAACUUGCCCACUCUUGAAAGCCUAAAACUUUCAUUUUGUUCCAGUCUUGAGAAAUUUCCAGAAAUACUAGAAAAGAUGGAAAACAUAAGGAAACUUGUAUUGGAGAAGCUUCCCAUUAAAGAAUUGCCACUGUCGUUUCAAAAUCUUAUUGGACUCGAAGAGUUAUUCUUGUCAUCAUGUAAAAUUGUUCACUUGCCUAACUUGUCUACUUUGAGUGUUACUGAAGAUAACGGAGGCUCAAUGGUUCCUUCAAAGUUAGAGUGUUUUUCAGCACAGUCUUGCAACCUGAAUGAUAACUUCUUUUCGGCAGGUUUCAUGCAGUUGGCACAAGUGCGUAUUUUAAGUCUACGGGACAAUAAUUUCAAACACCUUCCUGAAUGCAUCAAAGAAUUUCACAACCUCAACGAGCUUGAUGUGAGUUAUUGCAAACAUCUUGAGGAAAUAAGAGGGUUUCCACCAAAAUUAGAACAUUUCACUGCAACAAACUGUAUAUCUUUGACUUCCACCAGCUUAGACAUGUUGCUAAAUAAGGAACUAUACGAAUCUAGAAAAUCUUGGUUCUGGUUUCCAGGAGCAAGGUUUCCAGAGUGGUUUGAUCUCAAGAGCAGUGGACCUUCAUGUUCUUUCUGGUUUCGUAAUAAGUUUCCUGCCAGAGUUCUUUCUCUUCUUAUUAUACAUAUGAAUAAAAAUGAUAACUUAAGUAUCUUUUACCCUGCUGUGUACAUUAAUGGGAAAUCUCAAACAGACGCAAGCAUGUAUUUGAUGGAGCAGACGAAAUUUGAAUUCGAUCUAACAUACUUCUCUGAUCUAAAAAUGUAUGGUAAUUUGCAUGAACAACCUUCAGAAAAGGAAUGGAAUCACGUGAAGGUUAAAUAUAAUAUUUCUAUAGGUGCCUCUAUAGUUAAAGCAACAGGAAUCCAUGUAUUCGAGGAAAACAA